UAUAUCAGUUGACUUUACCAGCUGAGCUACACAGAAAUUGGCAUGAAAGGAAUUUGUUCCCCAUUCCUGUGUGAAGAAAACCUGCUCUAAGUUUGGAGGACAAGUAGGGAGUUGCUGAUCUCUUGGAAAACUACAGAUAUGUUACAAAUCAUCAUGCUUUUGGCCCUAAGGGAAUGAGAGACAGAACAAAAUACAUAUUUGGUUACACUGAAACUUGAUGAAUGUCACUGGCUUCAUAGAUGAAAUGAAUGAACUUCUACAUGCUGACUGGCUGACACAGCAAAGGAAGACAAUGGCAUCUGCAGAUGGCUCUGUGCUGCCACCUGAUGCAUCUACGACCAAAGAAGAAUGAUAGAAGCUUACUUUGCAUUGAAUGACCAGCAUGUUCUAGGAAUUAAAGAAGGGGAUGAUGUAGGGGUUGCAUGGCAACAUAUUCUAGCAUCUGAACAUAGUAUUUGAGGUCGGGCAUUGAAAAAUACUGAGGCACUGUGUAUGUUAUUUGUGCAUGGGAAUGAAACUCCUUGACCCUGAAAAUAGGACAGGGAGUGGAGUGUGUGGUGUGAUAAAGAAUGCUGAAAACAGCUUCCUAAGAAUGCAGUUUGAGUGUGUACAAGGUCACAGGUGCCUCAGCAACCCACCUCGAAUGACCAUCUAGUGGAUGUUUGUAGUUAGUACAAGCCCUUUCAAUAUAUACUUGGCAGAUGGAUGCUGGGGUGGACUCUCUCAGAAGAGCUACCCCCUAAACUUGCUCAGCUGGAACUGAGUACUUCAUUCUUGGCGUUCACUGCAAGCUAUAAGCUCUGCGAAACUGAACUUAUAAAUGAUAUGAAUAGCAUU
This is a non-coding RNA of Callithrix jacchus (white-tufted-ear marmoset), 837 nucleotides long. NCBI's taxonomy places the organism in Eukaryota, Metazoa, Chordata, Mammalia, Primates, Cebidae. The record is from RefSeq and is a predicted model, not a curated record.